GACGAACGCUGGCGGCGUGCUUAACACAUGCAAGUCGAACGGAAAGGCCCUGCUUGCAGGGUACUCGAGUGGCGAACGGGUGAGUAACACGUGGGUGAUCUGCCCUGCACUUCGGGAUAAGCCUGGGAAACUGGGUCUAAUACCGGAUAGGAGCCAUUUUUAGUGUGAUGGUUGGAAAGUUUUUUCGGUGUAGGAUGAGCUCGCGGCCUAUCAGCUUGUUGGUGGGGUAAUGGCCUACCAAGGCGGCGACGGGUAGCCGGCCUGAGAGGGUGGACGGCCACAUUGGGACUGAGAUACGGCCCAGACUCCUACGGGAGGCAGCAGUGGGGAAUAUUGCACAAAGGGCGCAAGCCUGAUGUAGCGACGCCGCGUGGGGGAUGACGGCCUUCGGGUUGUAAACUCCUUUCGCUAGGGACGAAGCUUUUUGUGACGGUACCUAGAUAAGAAGCACCGGCUAACUACGUG
This 465-nucleotide ribosomal RNA is filed under the name uncultured bacterium. Its description in RNAcentral is "partial 16S ribosomal RNA". It matches the Rfam family "Bacterial small subunit ribosomal RNA", at positions 28 to 507 of the family's 1533-position model. The record is from RNAcentral.